GAUGAACGCUGGCGGCGUGCCUAAUACAUGCAAGUCGAGCGAACAGACGAGAGUGCUUGCACUCUCUGACGUUAGCGGCGGACUGGUGAGUAACACGUGGGUAACCUACCUAUAAGACUGGGAUAACUUCGGGAAACCGGAGCUAAUACCGGAUAAUAUUUAGCUUCGCAUGAAGCAAUAGUGAAAGACGGUUCUGCUGUCACUUAUAGAUGGACCCGCGGUGUAUUAGCUAGUUGGUGAGGUAACGGCUCACCAAGGCAACGAUACAUAGCCGACCUGAGAGGGUGAUCGGCCACACUGGGACUGAGACACGGCCCAGACUCCUACGGGAGGCAGCAGUAGGGAAUCUUCCGCAAUGGACGAAAGUCUGACGGAGCAAUGCCGCGUGAGUGAAGAAGGUUUUCGGAUCGUAAAACUCUGUUGUAAGGGAAGAACAAGUACGUUAGUAACUGAACGUACCUUGACGGUACCUUACCAGAAAGCCACGGCUAACUACGUG
RNAcentral lists this ribosomal RNA (499 nucleotides) under uncultured bacterium. RNAcentral describes it as "partial 16S ribosomal RNA". It matches the Rfam family "Bacterial small subunit ribosomal RNA", at positions 28 to 507 of the family's 1533-position model. The record is from RNAcentral.